GUAUUUAUUAGAUAAAAACCAUUACUCGCAGGAGUUUUUGUGGUGAUUCAUAAUAACUGUUCGAAUCGCAUGCCGCAUGGCGGCGAUAGAUCAUUCAAAUUUCUGCCCUAUCAGCUCUCGACGGUAGUGUAGUGGACUACCGUGGCAUUAACGGGUAACGGAGAAUUAGGGUUCGAUUCCGGAGAGGGAGCCUGAGAAACGGCUACCACAUCCAAGGAAGGCAGCAGGCGCGCAAAUUACCCAAUCCUGAUACAGGGAGGUAGUGACAAAAAAUAACAAUACCGGGCAUUUUAUGUCUGGUAAUUGGAAUGAGUACAAUUUAAAUCCCUUAACGAGGAUCAAUUGGAGGGCAAGUCUGGUGCCAGCAGCCGCGGUAAUUCCAGCUCCAAUAGCGUAUAUUAAAGUUGUUGCAGUUAAAAAGCUCGUAGUUGGAUUUCUGGUAUGGUGCGCCUGGCCCACGGUUGCAAAACCGCGAGUGUCGGUGUGCGCCUGCCAUCUUUCUAGUUAACUGGACGCACUUAACUGGGCGGUCAGCGAUCUAGAUCUUUUACUUUGAAAAAAUUAGAGUGUUUAAAG
This 576-nucleotide ribosomal RNA is filed under the name uncultured eukaryote. RNAcentral's name for it is "SSU rRNA". It matches the Rfam family "Eukaryotic small subunit ribosomal RNA", at positions 203 to 780 of the family's 1831-position model. The record is from RNAcentral.